Ananas comosus (pineapple) is the source of this 2887-nucleotide RNA transcript. It is a transcript of the gene named DAR GTPase 2, mitochondrial, with no coding region annotated. The transcript is spliced from 11 exons. The record is from RefSeq and is a predicted model, not a curated record. NCBI's taxonomy places the organism in Eukaryota, Viridiplantae, Streptophyta, Magnoliopsida, Poales, Bromeliaceae.
AUGGCGGCGGCCUCUUCGUCCUUCUCGCGGCGCCUCGGCGCGGCCGUGCGGGAGCUCGGCAUGAAGGGCGCCGCGGAAGGUUGGUACGGCGCGCACAUGGCGGCGGCGGAGCGCGCCAUCCUGGAGAGGGCCCCCCUCGUCGAUCUCGUCCUCGAGGUUCGAGACGCUCGGAUACCUGCUACAUCUGCAUUUGAGAGUUUGGGGAGAUGGUCCGGUUCCAAUAAGCAUAUGAUUGCGCUGAACAAAGUGGAUCUUGCAGAUGCUUCGUCUACAGAGAAAUGGGUAAAGCACAUUGAGAAACAGAACUGUGUUUGUCGUGGAGUCAAUGCGCACAACAAAGGCAGUAUCAAGGAGCUUCUAAGCACUGUACGAUCUAGGAUCAAGGAACUAAAUGGUGGUGAAAGCAGUUACACAGCAACAGUAAUGUUGGUUGGGAUUCCAAAUGUUGGAAAAUCUGCCAUUGCCAAUUCUAUGCACCAAAUCGGCAGAAUUGGUGCAAUGGAGAAGGGAAAACUCAAGCAUGCAAUGGUGAGCCCACUUCCUGGGGAAACAAGAGAUAUAAGCAGUUACAAGAUUGCUAGCCAUCCCAAUAUAUAUGUACUGGAUACUCCAGGAAUUCUCUCACCUAAGAUUGCCAAUGAUGACUUUGGGUCCAAACUAGCCUUGACCGGAGCUAUAAAGGACUCACUGUUAGGGGAAUAUAAGCUUUCACAAUACUUUCUCUCUCUCCUUAAUUCAUCUGAGGAACAUAAACAUUGGGGGAACUUGAAAUAUUCAACAGAUGAAAAAAUACCCUUAGGUACUAAGGAUGAGCAACGGAGGAGAAGACGAUAUCCUUCCGAUCAUACGCAGGAUUUUAUCGUCAAGGAUGUUCGCCGAACCCUUUUCAUGACCAUAUCAUCGUUUAAGGGUUCUUUAGAGAAAGGCAAAGAAAUGGAAAAGCUUGUAGAAUCUCAGUUUAUGGCUUUGCAUGAGGCUUUUAGAGUGUCAUAUGAAUCAACUGAGGAUAGAAAUAAAGCAGUUGGCGCAAAGUUGCUAAACCUAUAUCGGACUGGAAGAGUUGGCCGUUAUACACUGGAUGCUUUCCCAGGGGUAAUAGUUUGAAUUUUCGAGGGAGGCAUUGCUGGGUCAAUCUUAUAUAGAGAGGUUAAUAUUGUCCUGAUAUAUCAUCCACGUGAUACUGGCCAGAGAAAUCUUCUGAUGAGAUCAUCAUGUUUGACAUGGGAAAAUGAGACUGCUGAUUAGGGUGUUGGUUGCUUUUGUCUUACCCUUUUCUUUCGAAGUUACUUUGGUUAAAUUGUCCAUUAAUUGUGGAGAUCCUCACCAGACCAGUUCGGCAAAAUGACAAGGCCCAUGAAGAGGCAGAUUCCACAGCCUAUAGCGAUAGUAUAGAGGCGGUCGCGGGCUAAUGGCAACACAUUUUCUUCGCGGAAGCUAGAUACAGUUAUCAGAUUAAAGGUUAGUAGGAAAAUCACCACUCCGUAUUCGUAGUUCUUCUUGAUGUAUGGAAAGAAUCUCAAAUAUGUCGCAACAAAUCCUGUUGAAGGGAAUUAGCUAAGUAAAUGCAAGUUCUGCAGCUCAUAAAAUCAUACUCUAUAGCUUCCCUGAUAAAAUAAAGCUUGAGUUGAGCUAAUUUCGUAAACAUACCUAUUACGAAGACUGAAGCUCCUAUGAAAGAAGCACGGAAUACUGUGCCCGAUUUUUCCGCUAUAAUUUCUAUUAAAAAUGACAGAGAUCCUGCAAGAAGUGUUCCCAAUCCUCUAUUCAUCCCCUUGCACAGAGUUGCGCCUGAUACAAAAAAUUACUUAGCUAUGAACCAAAACCAUCUCAAACUCAACUAUAUUUUUAGACACUACUGCAAAUAAAGGAAUGAUUAAAUUACCUGCUGUGAAUUCUAGCACCACAACCACUGUCAUAACAGCCCACAUCGCAUUUUUUCCGACUCCUUUGAACAAUGGCUGCAAGACAUAGAGGAAGGAGACCAGUGUUAAGGCUACUCCUACCUUUAUAGCAUGAAUAACCCUUCUUGGAUCUUCUUUACCGACUCUCCAUGCGGUUCUACACAAGGAAAUCGGAAAAUCUUUUAUCUUCUUCACCAGUGCUUUGCUCUUCUCCAUUCUUUCGACAGUGGUUGGGUUUUGAGAAAUAUUUGCAGGACUAAAGGCUCAAACCUAGUGGACUACUUCAAUAUAUGGCCACAAAUGGUCGCGUCGACUUCUGCAACAGUGCAACUUUUGUGAAGAAGCAGCAUGAAUUAAAUGCAGGAUGGUUCUUGUUGAGAUUCUUUCAGAGGCAUCUAGGGUUUAUUUUGAAUCGUUGGUAACCUCUGUCCUGUAAAAUUGGAAAGGUUUUACUAUGUCAGACACAGGAUACAACUGGCCCUUCACAUGCAUCCUGCCUAAAAGUAGAAAUGUAAACAUCAUUGACACAAACUUGCUGUGCUUUAAGCCUAGAGUGAGGAUGAUAGAAAAAGAAUAUCGCCUACAUGCAGUUGAAUUCAUUACUUAUGUGGGUUCUCCCUGUUCCAGAAUUCAGACUAGGUGACAGUGACAGCAUCCACCAGCUAGCCGAAAAAAGCAGCAACUUGAUUGAAGGAGUUGAACUCUCAAACAAUUGAACUGUGGAUACAUCUUUACUCUGGUUUUAUUAUUAUUAUUAUUAUUAUUCUGUUCUGUUUUCUUUCCCACCCAUCAGUAGUUUGGUGUUCAGUGGUGAAAUGCUCCUUGCAAUAACUUUCUCCCAUAUGUUGGUUUUGCUGGAUUUUGUUUUGAUGUUGGGCUGUGUGUUGGAUGCAUGAAUAUUAGGAUUUACUCAAGAAACUUGUAAUAUUUAUUCGGUGAGGAGUGUAAUAAGAUGUUUAAAUUAGAAGAUCGUAUUUUACUUUUAA